Molecule: transfer RNA, 72 nt
Filed under: Toxopneustes pileolus
Lineage: Eukaryota; Metazoa; Echinodermata; Echinoidea; Temnopleuroida; Toxopneustidae
Description: tRNA-Gln
Rfam family: tRNA
About the family: Transfer RNA (tRNA) molecules are approximately 80 nucleotides in length. Their secondary structure includes four short double-helical elements and three loops (D, anti-codon, and T loops).
Source: RNAcentral
UAAAGAGUAGUUUAAUCGGAAAAACGAAGAACUUUGACUUCUUUGUUGCGGGUUCGAUUCCCGCUUCUUUAA